Molecule: non-coding RNA, 23 nt
Filed under: Arabidopsis thaliana (thale cress)
Lineage: Eukaryota; Viridiplantae; Streptophyta; Magnoliopsida; Brassicales; Brassicaceae
Source: RNAcentral
GGAUUUGUUAUUGGGUUCCUUCC